AACCACAGCCAUAUGACCCUGCAGCCCAAUAAAUUUUACUUACUGAAACUAACAGGACUGAGCCUGGUCAGUACCUGGAUGGGAGAUGACAUGGGAAAACUAGGUUGCUGUUGGAA
This 116-nucleotide ribosomal RNA is filed under the name Danio rerio (zebrafish). The record is from RNAcentral. Lineage: Eukaryota; Metazoa; Chordata; Actinopteri; Cypriniformes; Danionidae.